CUUAAUUUACAAACGGCGCCCCGUACGUUAAAAUGUAUUAUUUUUUUAUGAAGAUGGAAAGACUGCGGUGCUGAAUGACUUGGAUGCUGAAAACACAACAACUCUGCCAAUGAAACCAUAUCCAGUGCCAACUGAAAACAGCCGAAGCAGCAAUAACUUUAUUAAUACAAUCAUGGAGAAAACCCCUUCAGAAAGUGAUUCAACAGUUCCUGCUGUUAACUUCAAGGAAGCUUUGAAUUUGAAUGACUCUAAGAAUCAUCCACAGAGAAACGAGGAACCAGGUAACAUUAAGAUCGUUCAAAGCCGAAUUAUACUGCAGCAAUACUACAAUGUAU
Molecule: long non-coding RNA, 335 nt
Organism: Cyprinodon variegatus (sheepshead minnow)
Lineage: Eukaryota; Metazoa; Chordata; Actinopteri; Cyprinodontiformes; Cyprinodontidae
Exons: 3
Source: RefSeq, a predicted model, not a curated record